UCUAGAGAGAGAGAGAGAGAGAGAGAGAGAGAGGGAGAAGAGUACGGUUAAUAGAACCUGUCUUCUACGAGCAAAACCAACCCAUCUUCUCUGCUAAGCUCGCCAACCUCCGUCCUCUCAUAAACCUCACGACAAAGCUAGAGCAACACCAACCGGAGACGGUUACAAGACAUGGUGUCGACGAGAAGAACGGAAAACUAGAUUUCAGGAAGAGAACGGCGGCUUGAAAGAGGAAGACAAUGACUUUUUAUGUGUCUUUACUUCUGUAGAUCCGUAAAACCUAGCGUUUAAGGAAAGUUUCUCAGACGUCGACGAAGACGGAAGUGGUAGAAGAAGCUUGACGACAGCGUGGUCGUUCGGUUGAGAUGCAGGAAGCAUGGUCGUUGUGUGGUGUGCGGCGGAGACUGAAGAACAUGGUUUACUGGUGGAAGAUCGGAGAUUGAUGGAGUUGGUUCAGAAUCAAGUUGACGGCAGCGAAGGAGAUAGGGUUAAUUUUGUGUUUUAGGUUUAGAAAUGUUUGUCUGUAAACCAGGUUUAAUAACUAAACCGGUAUCAUUUGUAAACAAUUCUUUUAAUAAUAUAUUAAUUUUAUUUAAAA
Long non-coding RNA from Raphanus sativus (radish), 598 nucleotides. RefSeq lists it as uncharacterized. NCBI's taxonomy places the organism in Eukaryota, Viridiplantae, Streptophyta, Magnoliopsida, Brassicales, Brassicaceae. The record is from RefSeq and is a predicted model, not a curated record. The transcript has 3 exons.